GCGCGUAUAGCUCAGUGGUAGAGCGCUUCGUUGACAUCGAAGAGGUUCCAAGUUCGAUCCUUGGUACGCGCA
Molecule: transfer RNA, 72 nt
Filed under: Candidatus Harrisonbacteria bacterium CG10_big_fil_rev_8_21_14_0_10_38_8
Lineage: Bacteria; Candidatus Harrisoniibacteriota
Description: tRNA-Val
Rfam family: tRNA
About the family: Transfer RNA (tRNA) molecules are approximately 80 nucleotides in length. Their secondary structure includes four short double-helical elements and three loops (D, anti-codon, and T loops). Further hydrogen bonds mediate the characteristic L-shaped molecular structure. tRNAs have two regions of fundamental functional importance: the anti-codon, which is responsible for specific mRNA codon recognition, and the 3' end, to which the tRNAs corresponding amino acid is attached (by aminoacyl-tRNA synthetases). tRNAs cope with the degeneracy of the genetic code in two manners: having more than one tRNA (with a specific anti-codon) for a particular amino acid; and 'wobble' base-pairing, i.e. permitting non-standard base-pairing at the 3rd anti-codon position.
Source: RNAcentral